Molecule: unclassified non-coding RNA, 220 nt
Filed under: plant metagenome
Description: partial contains small subunit ribosomal RNA, internal transcribed spacer 1, and 5.8S ribosomal RNA
Source: RNAcentral
UUUCCGUAGGUGAACCUGCGGAAGGAUCAUUACAGAGUUCAUGCCCUCACGGGUAGAUCUCCCACCCUUGAAUAUUUAUACCUUAGUUGCUUUGGCAGGCCGUGGAAACACCAUGGGCUCCGGCUUAUGCGUGCCUGCCAGAGGAAACAAACUCUGUUUUUAGCGAUGUCUGAGUACUAUAUAAUAGUUAAAACUUUCAACAACGGAUCUCUUGGUUCUC